GAUGAACGCUGGCGGCGUGCCUAAUACAUGCAAGUCGAGCGAACAGACGAGGAGCUUGCUCCUCUGACGUUAGCGGCGGACGGGUGAGUAACACGUGGAUAACCUACCUAUAAGACUGGGAUAACUUCGGGAAACCGGAGCUAAUACCGGAUAAUAUAUUUAACCGCAUGGUUCAAUAGUGAAAGACGGUUUUGCUGUCACUUAUAGAUGGAUCCGCGCCGCAUUAGCUAGUUGGUAAGGUAACGGCUUACCAAGGCACGAUGCGUAGCCGACCUGAGAGGGUGAUCGGCCACACUGGAACUGAGACACGGUCCAGACUCCUACGGGAGGCAGCAGUAGGGAAUCUUCCGCAAUGGGCGAAAGCCUGACGGAGCAACGCCGCGUGAGUGAUGAAGGUCUUCGGAUCGUAAAACUCUGUUAUUAGGGAAGAACAAAUGUGUAAGUAACUAUGCACGUCUUGACGGUACCUAAUCAGAAAGCCACGGCUAACUACGUG
This 496-nucleotide ribosomal RNA is filed under the name uncultured bacterium. RNAcentral's name for it is "partial 16S ribosomal RNA". It matches the Rfam family "Bacterial small subunit ribosomal RNA", at positions 28 to 507 of the family's 1533-position model. The record is from RNAcentral.